This 253-nucleotide ribosomal RNA is filed under the name uncultured bacterium. Its description in RNAcentral is "partial 16S ribosomal RNA". It matches the Rfam family "Bacterial small subunit ribosomal RNA", at positions 524 to 776 of the family's 1533-position model. The record is from RNAcentral.
GACAGAGGUGCCGAGCGUUAGGCGGAAUCACUGGGCUUAAAGCGUGUGUAGGCGGACCCGUCAGUGUCUUGUGAAAUCCCACCGCUCAACGGUGGAACGGCUGGGCAUACUGCGGGUCUUGAGGGACCCAGGGGCGAGCGGAACAAGCGGUGGAGCGGUGAAAUGCGUAGAUAUGUGGAGGAACACCAGUGGCGAAGGCGACUUUCUGGCCUAUAACUGACGCUGAGGCGCGAAAGCGUGGGGAGCAAACAGG